This 1376-nucleotide ribosomal RNA is filed under the name uncultured marine bacterium. RNAcentral's name for it is "bacterial SSU rRNA". It matches the Rfam family "Bacterial small subunit ribosomal RNA", at positions 27 to 1393 of the family's 1533-position model. The record is from RNAcentral.
GAUUGAACGCUGGCGGUAUGCUUAACACAUGCAAGUCGAACGGAAACGAAACUAGCUUGCUAGUAGGCGUCGAGUGGCGGACGGGUGAGUAACGCGUAGGAAUCUGCCUGAUAGUGGGGGAUAGCCCGAAGAAAUUCGGAUUAAUACCGCAUAAUCUAUUCGUAGUAAAGUGGGGGACUUUCGAGCCUCACGCUAUCAGAUGAGCCUGCGUAAGAUUAGCUUGUUGGUAGGGUAAAAGCCUACCAAGGCGACGAUCUUUAGCUGGUCUGAGAGGAUGAUCAGCCACAUCGGGACUGAGACACGGCCCGAACUCCUACGGGAGGCAGCAGUGGGGAAUAUUGGACAAUGGGGGCAACCCUGAUCCAGCAAUACCGCGUGUGUGAAGAAGGCCUGAGGGUUGUAAAGCACUUUCAAUUGUGAAGAAAAGCUAGUGGUUAAUAGCCAUUAGCCUUGACAUUAACUUUAGAAGAAGCACCGGCUAACUCCGUGCCAGCAGCCGCGGUAAUACGGAGGGUGCAAGCGUUAAUCGGAAUUACUGGGCGUAAAGCGUGCGUAGGCGGUUUAUUAAGUCAGAUGUGAAAGCCCCGGGCUUAACCUGGGAACUGCAUUUGAAACUGGUCAACUAGAGUAUGGUAGAGGAAAGUGGAAUUUCUGGUGUAGCGGUGAAAUGCGUAGAUAUCAGAAGGAACAUCAAUGGCGAAAGGCAACUUUCUGGACCAAUACUGACGCUGAGGUACGAAAGCGUGGGUAGCAAACAGGAUUAGAUACCCUGGUAGUCCACGCCGUAAACGAUGAUAACUAGCCGUUGGGGGGAUUUACCCCUUAGUGGCGAAGCUAACGCGUUAAGUUAUCCGCCUGGGGAGUACGGCCGCAAGGUUAAAACUCAAAGGAAUUGACGGGGACCCGCACAAGCGGUGGAGCAUGUGGUUUAAUUCGAUGCAACGCGAAGAACCUUACCUGGUCUUGACAUCCUGAGAACUUUCUAGAAAUAGAUUGGUGCCUUCGGGAACUCAGUGACAGGUGCUGCAUGGCUGUCGUCAGCUCGUGUCGUGAGAUGUUGGGUUAAGUCCCGUAACGAGCGCAACCCCUAUCCUUAUUUGCCAGCACAUCAUGGUGGGAACUAUAAGGAGACUGCCGGUGAUAAACCGGAGGAAGGCGGGGACGACGUCAAGUCAUCAUGGCCCUUACGACCAGGGCUACACACGUGCUACAAUGGGAAGGACAAAGAGCCGCGAAGCCGCGAGGUGUAGCUAAUCUCAGAAACCUUUUCGUAGUCCGGAUUGGAGUCUGCAACUCGACUCCAUGAAGUCGGAAUCGCUAGUAAUCGUAGAUCAGAAUGCUACGGUGAAUACGUUCCCGGGUCUUGUACACACCGC